Molecule: transfer RNA, 67 nt
Filed under: Marmota monax (woodchuck)
Lineage: Eukaryota; Metazoa; Chordata; Mammalia; Rodentia; Sciuridae
Description: tRNA.Ala
Rfam family: tRNA
About the family: Transfer RNA (tRNA) molecules are approximately 80 nucleotides in length.
Source: RNAcentral
GGUUGUAGCUUAGUGGUAGAGCACUUGCCUAGCAUGUGUGAGGCACUGGGUUCAAUUCCCAGCACCA